AGAGUUUGAUCCUGGCUCAGGAUGAACGCUGGCGGCGUGCCUAAUACAUGCAAGUCGAACGCUUCACUUCGGUGAAGAGUGGCGAACGGGUGAGUAAUACAUAAGUAACCUGGCAUCUACAGGGGGAUAACUGAUGGAAACGUCAGCUAAGACCGCAUAGGUGUAGAGAUCGCAUGAACUCUAUAUGAAAAGUGCUACGGGACUGGUAGAUGAUGGACUUAUGGCGCAUUAGCUUGUUGGUAGGGUAACGGCCUACCAAGGCGACGAUGCGUAGCCGACCUGAGAGGGUGACCGGCCACACUGGGACUGAGACACGGUCCAAACUCCUACGGGAGGCAGCA
Molecule: ribosomal RNA, 341 nt
Filed under: uncultured bacterium
Lineage: Bacteria
Description: bacterial SSU rRNA
Rfam family: Bacterial small subunit ribosomal RNA
Source: RNAcentral